Molecule: long non-coding RNA, 3067 nt
Organism: Chinchilla lanigera (long-tailed chinchilla)
Lineage: Eukaryota; Metazoa; Chordata; Mammalia; Rodentia; Chinchillidae
Exons: 3
Source: RefSeq, a predicted model, not a curated record
GUUGCUCAGAAGCAGCGAGGAGGAGCCUGGCAGCUGGCUGGGAGCCUGGAUGCCCUCUUUCACACCCACUGUGCACCGGGCACGGGUCACACAGGCGGGGCGAGCGCGGCCACCCCAGGAGCCCUGCAAUGCCCUGCGACUUGGCUCAGCGUCCAAGACAGGCUGUAUGGAGCCCAGGCUGACCUCAAACUUGAAACGAUCCUCCUGCCUCAGCCUCCCUAGUGCUGGGAUGACAGGCGUGUGCCCCCACGCCCGGCAACACUGGGGCCUUUGAGAGGCAAGGAUGCACCCAGGGUGGGCAGCCAGCUGGUGGCUGUGCCCAGUCUAGAGCAGGAGCCUUGGGACCGCGCAGUGCAAGCUGCACACUUGGUGUGCCCGGCCCCCUUGUCUGUCCCCCUGGCCUCCCCUCCUCUGGCCUCACAUGCGGCCCCUCACUUCCCCUGGGCCUCCUCUGUGCUGUAGCAGCGCUGAGGUUUCCGGCUCAUUCCCUCCCCUCCUGCCUUUGAAGGCUCCUCUCCUGCCAGCCACACGCGCGCGCGCACACACACACGCGCACACACACACACACACACACACACACACAGGGCUUUCUCUCCCAUCCUCCUAAUCCCUGCUGCACGCCAGCCUCCCAGGGCUUUCGGGGCUCCCCUGCAGGCCCCACCCCAGCCCCCCGUCUCUCCAGUGAGGCCCAGAGGCAGGCAGUGAGGACAGGGCUGGGCUAGGGCUGCUCCGAGCAGGCACAGCGUCUUCCCAGGAGGACCCAGGCUUGAAGCGCCCUUCCCUUCCUAGAGGAGGCCACAGUGGGGUGGAGGGCAGGGGCCAGAGGUCGCCCUGACCCCCACCUAGGAGCAAGCCCUGGCCCCCCACGCCGGGUGCUGUGUGAACCCCUUGCUCAGCAAGGACCCUCCGAGACCCCACUGCAGGGGAGGUGAGUGCUGGCGGCUCCAAGCUGGGCAGGACGAGGCAGAUGGGCAGCCCUGGGCAGAGGGCGCCGCAAGGCAAGACACUGUGCCCUGAAACCAGGGGACCUUGAAGACUCCCCCUUGGUGAUGAGGUCCAGGAGAGGAAGUGCUUUGCAAGCUCAGUGCUCAUUCAUUCAUUCGACAAACGUCAGGUGAGCAACUCCUGGCGCCCAGCAGUGUGUGGGGCGGGGAGACAGAAACGAGGGGGACGGAGCUGUCCUGCCUAUCGGGGAUGUGCUGGGGGCAAAUGGCUCGGUCCCCAGUGCAGGCAGGAGAAAAGGACCAAGGGAAAUAAGCCCGAGGGAGGGAGGGAGGCAGGAACCGUGCUGACGGUGUCAGACCGCCUGCAAACACCAGCUCACUGGUGCCUGUACACACACUCACUCUCACACACGCACUCACACUCACACAUACGCACACACACAUUCACACACACGCACACACAGCAGGGUCAGAGAGGCAGACCAACAAGCUCAGCGCUGCACAGCCCCCGCUCUGCUCUGACCUCCUGGCCCUAGCGGGUGGUGGGGGUGGGGCAGGGGCGGCCCCUCCCCCAUGACCUCGUGACCCUGGCCGGGUCUCCGCCCCUCCUCCCAUUCGGCGCAGGGCCCGGAGGUCACGCGAGGUCAGGGAGGAAGGAAGUGGCCGCUGUGUCACCGCUGCGCUGCAGAAGUCUGCACAGGGGACGCACGGGACGCGCGGGGAUGCAGGCGCAGUCCCCUCCCCCCUUCCGCCCCUCCGAGGCCUGCGCUUGGCCAACUCACUUGUGUCCCUGUCGUUGAGCGCAAGGAACCGCCUUUGGACACACAUCCCACGAGGAGCAGCCGCGGCUCCCGCGUCCCCACGCUGCACGAGGUCACGCGGUCACUCGCUGAGCAAAAGCGCCCUGAGCCGCUGCGUGGGACAGGGCUCCCGCGCAGAUGUGGGGCGCGCUGAGGCCAGAGGGACACGGGGGGAACAGGUGGCCUGGGGCCAGGGGGAGGGACAACCACCCAGGAGUGACAGUCAGAAGGGCUACUGGAGGAGACUGAGGAGGAGCGAGCCAGCGAGGAGGGGCCGAGGCCUGGACACCCAGGAGCAUGGCCCCUGAAGGACACUGGGGCUGGCAGCUUCCCCGGCCAAGCCUGGGCCUUGGGAGCCCAAAGUCAGGGUGUCUGUGGGACGCACAGCCUCUGGGCCCCAGGGAAGGGACGUCCUGCUGUUCUGGUGUCUCCAGGUCACCUGCAGUCAUGGGCUUGUGGCCCCAUCCCUGUCCUCAAAGCAUAGGGUGUCCCCAAAGACUUAGGCCUGCUUCUGUUGGAGGCUGGGUGCUUUGUAAAGAAAAGAGCUUUAUGUGGCUCACAGUUUUAGAGGCUAAAAGCCCAAGCCUGGAUGGCAUCACACUGGGGUGUCACUUGUGGGAGCGAUCGGCCGGAAAGACUCAGGCUCAGGUGCCAGGCUGUCAGGGAAGCUAGGCCUCCUGCAGGACCAUGCAGAGCUGAAGACAGACACAGACUUCCCGGAUCCUGCAGAGAAGAAUUCACCUGGCAGCCCAGGCUGUCCUUGAACUCAUGAUGACCCUCAGCCUCCCAAAUAUUGGGACUGCAGGUGUGCGCCACCAUGCCUGGCUGGGGAGGUGGUUUAACCCACUCUUCCUCACUCUUACCUGAGGGAAAAGGGAAGGAUUAAUGCAUGAUUAUAAAGUAUUAAAUACAUGUUAAAUAUCAUUCUUAUUUCGAGCUAAGUGUGGAGAUGUGACUCAGUCUGCUAGGUCUCUUCCCCCUAAAAAUGGCUCUCCUAAUCUUAAAUGGGCAUAUGGCUGCCUAGCCUAAAGACUACAUUUCCCAGAAUCCCGUGCAGCUAGACAAGCUCACAUGACCAACUUUUGGCCAAUGGGAUGACAGCAGAAGUGGUUUGGCCCAUUUCCUGGUAGUUUUCUUUAAAAGACAGGGUGAGAUCUCCUUUAAACUGGACAGAAUAUGAGCAUAGAGGCUGGAGCUGGAGCAGCCAUUGUGCACUGUGAGGUGUCAGCCCUGUGUGUUGAGGGUGGCAAAGCAUUAAGUCUCCUACCAGACUUGGAUUGCCUAUACUUCCUGGAGCAAGAAAUAAAUCUUUUCUUGUUUAAA